UCGGCAUUGCAGAACCAAAAGACGGGGGGAAAGCGUCAUUUUCGUUGUUAUAGACGUUUUCUGGACAGGAUAAACUUUUCGAGCUUCUGGUUUUAAUUAGAAACCUUAUUUGAAAGCUAACAUUGGGUUUGCAGAUAAAUCCUGUCAAUGAUAGUCAGAUUUUCGGCACCAGGUGCUUGGAUUUUCGUUGUGGACCCUCUCAGACUAAGCGGCUUGGAUAUAGUUAAACACUUCAAAAGUUGAAAGGUGGAUCUGUUUGGAGAAAGGAUGGGACGUCAUAGAGCGUUUUAUUUAAGUAAUUGUGAACAGGAACCAAACAGGAAACUGUUGUUCAAAUAAGACAAGGAAUGCUGUGUAUAUCCAGCAAAGGCUGCAGUCUGCAACCUUCUUUUACUUAGUGUAGCCGUGAAUGCAGUGAUCACUGUCUUCCGUGUGAGCGAACUCCAUUUGAAAGCUUGACCCAGACGAGAGAGGUUCGCACUAACACACUGAUGCUGGCUAGAGUGGCAAAGGCGUGCAGCUCAAACGGUUGUUUUGUUUUGAGAAAACGGACCUGCAUCCACGCGUCUGUACUUUUCUCUUUGGACACAUAAUAAUAACAUGAAGAUCCACACAUCCGCAGCGACAGAAACCACAAGGAAAUCAGCGCAAACAAAAAGUCCUCCGCAAUGACGCGGCUGAGCUGAGACUGGGACAAGAGACAAAAGAGUUGAGGGACGCGACGUAGUAGAGGGUGUCGUGGUGUACACGCGCUGGUCAGCCAUGUCCAAGCUCUUGCAAGGUGCUCUUCUGCAGCAGGCGCCUUCCCACAGCGGAAGAAGCUGGCAGCAGGUGAGAGCGAGUCCCCCUAGAGACGCCGCCGGCACCGCAGACGCGGCCUGUCAGGAGUUGUGCGCGGAGAAGAAAAUGUUGGAAGUCAUUCAAGAUUUACCAGCGGCACCAGACUGGCAGACAACAAGCGGCCAGACCAGCGGGGAGCGCCACUUUGACUCGUGCGAGGACCUGUGCAAGGAGAAGGAUCGCAUGAUGGCAGUGCCUCGCGAGAUGACAUCACAGCAGUGGACGCCGGCGGAGGGUGAGAGCAGGGGUGACGGUCCGCCUGUGGCCGUGCUGACCAGCAUCCGGUGCCAGCUGUGCGGCUGCACUUUCUGCUGCGUGUGCAGCGCUGUGUCUUCGGUGCGCUCGCUGCGCAGCCAGUACUGGAGUCGCCCGCAGGACAGAUACAAGCUGCAGGUGUCUGUCAGCAUUCACGAGAAGAUCUCUGAUGUGGUCGUCCCAGGCCAGGAAGAUAUAUCAGCCCGAGAAGCUUUGCUGCUUUGGUCACGCCGCACAACAGAGGGCUAUCCAGGCGUAAAAAUCAAAGACUUUUCUUCUUCCUGGCGUGAUGGCAAAGCAUUCCUUUCUAUCAUCCAUAGAAAUAGGCCAGACCUUAUUGACUUCCGGCAAGCCCGCAGCAAUAGCAACAAACAGAACCUGGAACUGGCCUUCACUGUGGCAGAGAAAGAGUUUGGUGUCACAAGACUUCUUGAUCCAGAAGAUGUGGACGUUCCCAACCCUGAUGAGAAGUCCAUUCUUACUUAUGUCUCCUCUUUGUAUGAUGUUUUUCCCCAAGUGCCUAGUGUAGAACAGUCUCUAAGAGACAAUGAGCGACAGUUAAAGGUUGAGGAAUAUCGCGACCUGGCCUCUUCCUUGCUGAGAUGGCUUUCUGAUGUAACUGUUUUCAUGCAGAAUCGCACCUUCCCUGCCACCAAAAUGGAAAUGAAGGCACUACUGACAGAGUUUAACAAAUUCCGUUCAGAGGAUGUUCCUGUCAGGCUGGAAUCCAAAAGAAAGCUGAUGAGACUCUAUGAUGAAAUACAGUCCUUGACAUCUGACAUGUCACAGUUGGGUAUCUCAGAAGACAUUUCUCCCCCAAAUCUGGAACGUUUCUGGAACCGAUUCAUGCAAGCACAGCAAGAAAGGGACAUGGCACUUCAAGCUGAAAUAGUCAGGUUGGAACGACUAGCACGUAUGGCAGAAAAAAUUCAGAGGGAGAGUAAGCAAGCAGGUGAGAGCUUGCAUGACCUUGAAAGGCAGAUUCAGGAGGCAGAAGUAAGAGGCGACAAGCAGCACCCCUAUGAGGCCAAACACAACUGUGAUGCUAUGGACCGUGCAUUGCAUACCAUAGAGGAGAACUUGAGGGCCAUGUUCCGUGAUGUUCAAACUCUUCAGGAUAACCAUUUCCCCCAGUCUCAGCAGCUGUAUACCAGAAUAUCAGAACUGCAGUCCAGAGUGUCAUCUUUGCGAACAAGACUGUACAGUGGAGUGGUUCAGCCUUUGCUGUCCCGAGCAUAUGUUGAGGAGGGUCGCACAGUAACAAGACGCACAGAAAUAAUGACAGAAGUCAGGCUGGUUGACACAAAUCCUGCCUUCAGGCAUGUACAAGAUUGUCUUGACUGGAUUGAAGCACAGCAGCAAAUGAUAGUAGGCCAGGACUACAGCAGUGACCUACAACAGGUACAGGAACAACUCCGCACCCACCGCAAGACCCACCAAGAGGUCACCACAUUCCGUGCUCAGAUUGACAGAUGCAUUUCGGACAGAAAAAGUCUUUCAGCUGAGGAACAAAAGCUGUAUACACAAAAACUCUCCAGUGUUGAAGUAGCUUAUUCCCUUUUAUUGAAUACAUCCAGUCGACGUCUGAAGUUCCUGGAGUCACUGAGUGAAUUUCUCCAGGGGGCAACUGCAGAACUGACAUGGCUGGCAGAGCGUGAAGAGGUGGAGGUGACACGUGAUUGGGUCAGCAAAGACCUGAACCUCGCUGAUUUGGAUGACCAUCAUAAGAACUUGAUACGCCAAGUUGAAGCUCGGGAGCGACAUUUCAAUGCUGUUCAAGAGAAAGGUGGGGCCAUGAUCCUAGACAGGCAUCCAGCAGCCAGUAUGGUGGAGGUUCUCAUGGCAAGUCUGCAGGCUCGUUGGUCCUGGCUUUUGCAGCUCGUAACUUGUCUUGAUGCUCAUCUCAAGCACACCAUUGCUCACAACCAGUUUUUCGAAGAAGCUCGCCACUGUGAACAGUGGAUGGCAAGGCACACAGAGCUGCUUCAGAAUCGAUUUGCCCGUGACAACAUUCCAAUGGAGCAGGCUGAACUGCUUAUUCGUGAACUCCAGGAGCUGCAGGAGCAACUUCGAGAGUAUGAGCGACGAAUUGCAAGUCUUACCAUGUCGGCUCCCAGCAUCAUUCCUCUGUCUCUUCGUGCACAGCCAGUUCGUUCACCCCUGCGACUCCGAACACUGUGCUCUUGUCAUCUACCUGAGGUAAAUCUUCAAAGGGGAGAGGAAUGCUUCCUUAUUAGCAACAGCCAACUGGUCAAGUGGCGGAUCAAAACAUUGAAAGGAAUUGAAACUGAGUGCCCAUCAGUAUGUCUAUUGAUUCCACCUCCAAAUCAAGAUGCUAUCGACUAUGCAAACAGACUGAAGCGUCAGCAUGAUCACCUUUCAAACUUAUGGAAAAGUCAGCACCGCAAGCUGCGCUUCAGCACAAUUUUUGCAACCAUUGAGCAGAUUAAAGCCUGGGAUAUCAAAAAGUUUCUAGCCAUGGAUCCUUCACAACGAGAGAAUGUGUGGCGAGCGCUGAAGGAAGAUGGUGACAAGCUUAUUGCUGAAAGCAGCAAUUUACAGGAUCGCGAUUCUCGCCACCUGCAAGAAGCAAUGACUGAGUGUCAACAUAUUUUCCAGAAACUGUCUACUGAAGCAGCUGCUAAAGAAGGAAAGCGGAGUAUGACAGCAGCACAGACAAUGUUGCAGCAGCUGGAGACGGCAAAUCGUGAACUGACAAUCUGCGAUCAACAGAUCUCUGCCCUAGUGCACAAACCUUUGCCACAGAACAACUUGGGGGUGCAAGAUGCAUUUCGCAAAUAUAGGGAAUUCCAAGGUCGCUUUGAAACACAAGAAAAAGAGAUUGUGGUUCUUGAGAAAGGGUGCCAGAAACUCCACCCUCCAUCCACCCAGGUGGAGUCCAAAUUGAAACUGGUUAUCCAUAGGUCUCAGCAGAUACGUGCCAUCUCUCACAUAUACCUGGACAGAUUGAAGAGUUGUGAGGUGGUUGUUUCUGGCCUCGAUGAUGUGAAACAGAUGAUACAUGAUUACCAGCAUACUCUGGCUUCCCAAGAUAAUGCCACCUCAGAUCUAAGCUCUCUUAAACUGGCUCACACAGAACUCACAGAUGUGCAGACAUCCAUGAAGCAGCAGCAACCUCGAAUUGAACAUCUGAAAAGUGAUGUCAGCAGUCUGCGAGUUCUGGUGGAGAAAAGCCGAUCUGGUGUCACUAGUCAUCAUGAUCUGGACGCUGUGGAGAGAGAGGUGAUCAACCUAGCCAGUCAGUGGGCUACAGUCAGCUCCCAAGCUGCAGAGAGGCUGCAGAUGGUCAGAUCCAUUCAGGACUUGUUGUCCAUGUAUGAACAUGGUCUGGGGGCAGAAGAGCAGUGGCUAGAGCAGAUACAGAAGACUGUAGCCAGUCAACCACCGCUGACCGGUGAUGUGGUGGAUGCCAAGAAUCAGCUACAGACAACCAUGGCCAUCUACAACAGACUUGUGGAGCGGAAGCAUCAAAUAGAAGCUGUCAAUCGCCUGGGAGGGCAGUACAUCCGAGAGGCCAAGAUAUUUGAAAAGAAACAAACAAAAUACCGGCAAAGUGUGGAGUCUGCAGAUUCAAGCCCUGUUAUCUCAAAGAAACGCUCAAAGCAGAUAGAUGGAGCUGAAGUAGUGAAAAAUGAGUUGGACUCCCUUAAUCAAAGAUACAUGGAGAUGGUCUCUUGGACAGAUGCUCGCCUCAAACAAAUCAAUACAUCCCUGCUGCAAGCAGAUAUUGAUGUACAGAUUGGGGUUGAUGAGGACGUUCCACUUCUACGUACAUUCCGAGCAGAAUUGACCAAGCGUUCAUCCAUGUUAGUGGAUGAAGAUAUGCAAGAAUUCUUCAUGCACCUUCAUGAAUUUGAAGGCUAUGGCAGCCAGCCCUCUAACUACUUUGGGGUGCCUGGACAGACAUACAUUAGUCAGGUUACCAUUCGGCCCGAAACUACGGCUUCUGCAGAACUGUCUUUACCAGAACAGACAUUCCGCGUCAGCUUGUUAGGGUCAAACCAAGCACAAAAGCAGAAGGCUACAUCAGGCUCCCAUGCACUCACACAGUUGUCAGCAUCGCUGAAGGCUUUGCAAGAGUCUGCAAUUUCAAUAACCCCACAGUCGGUGGGAGCCACAACAGCCAGCAGUAGCUAUCAACAGACUAUGAUAACAAUCUCACCUACUACUGUUUCUCCUCGGGGUCAAGUGCUACAUGUCACAGCAGUGCUAAACCCAGUGACUUCUCAAAAGGUCACAUUGGUGGAAGCCCUACAUUCAGGUCUGAUUGACCCCCAGACUCAGAGUUACUGUGACCCAAGGUCAGGAAAGAAACUGGCACUGGCUCAGGCAGCCAAGCAAGGUUUUAUCGAUGAAGUUCUUCACCGACAGCUGACAUCACCCUCUGGUCUUCAUGAUCCAGUGAGUGGCCAGGAAAUGUCCCUGAUUGAAGCCAUUCAGCAAAAGUUAUACAUCCCCGAGACGAACAUGAUCAAGGACAGUGUGGCUGGUGAAAUUGUGCCUGUGAUGGAAGCACUAGCACGGGGCAUCAUUUCAGAGUCCUGCUCGCGAGUUCUUAUUGGGGAGGCAGUGAAUCUGACCUCAAUUACUCACACCCAGGCUCAUUUUGCUAAGAAUGAACCCCUCAACGUAGAGGUGUCAUUAAGUCUAGCCCAGGCUGUUGAGGAAGGACUAUACAAUGCCAAGACAGGCCAUCUUCAGGACCCAGUUUCCUGCAGAGACAUGACACUUCUGAGUGCCUUUGAACGAGGCUUCAUCAACCCUGCUUAUCAUGAAGUUCAAGACCCAACAACAGGACACUUUAUUACUCUUCUGGAGGCUGUAACUAAUCGGAUUGUAGAUCCAGAGAGGGGUGUUUUCAUCAGUGGCGCCUCCCAGCACCAGCUGCCUCUUGAUGAAGCUACAACACGAGGAUUUAUUCGGAAGCCUACCUCUCUCUCUGAUAUUGUAGACAGUGGCAGUCUGGCAGAAAAUGGCUUGGUCUAUGACACUUCUACUGGCCAGAUGAUUACAUUCCAAAAUGCUGUGGAUUCUGGUAUUCUAGAUGGAGACAAAAAGUGCAUUUUAGAUCCAUCUACCAGUGAAGCAUUGUCCAUCUCAGAAGCAAUCAAGAAAGGUCUUUUAACACCGCAGGGCAGUGUUAGAGUACCAAACUCCAACAAGGUACUCCCUGUGUUUGAAGCUCUGCAAAAAGGUGCAAUUAAGCUUGUGAAAGAGGAUAUUUCUUUUUCCAAAACUUCUGUCAAAGACAUGAAAUCUGACAAAAUGAUAACAAUAUCAGAGGCUCUGAAAAGUGGUGUCAUUACACCUGCUGGCAGGUUUUUAGAUAAGAAAACUGGAAGGGAGAUGAGCCUUCAGCAGGCUGUUGAAAAGGGGUUGAUAGAGAGGUCAGCAGCCCACGAACUGACCCGAACCACCAGUCUUUGUGAUGCCACUGGAAAGAACCUGUCCUUUUUGGAAGCAGUGCAGAAAGGACUGAUUGAUUCUGAGAAGGGUCUUGUGAAGAACAUUAAGACUGGCAUCAAAGUGACUUUCCAAGAGGCAUCUGCACAAGGUUUGGUGUCUGCUGAUGAUGCUAUAUCUCUCCUUGGCCUCAUUACUCCAGUCAUGACAUCUACAACCAUUUUGACUCAAAUCCAGCCUUCUCAUACAGGUGUUACUGUCACAUCAAUCUCAAUAGCAGAGGCCACCUCAAAGGGGUUGUUGGAUGAAAAGACUGGUUAUUUCCGAGACCCUGCCACUGGUAGAACCAUGCUGGUGGAGGAUGCUAUUCAGAAAGGUCUCCUUCGUCUGUCUUCAGAAUGGCCCACUCCAUCAGUUUUGCCAUUAGAAGUUAAUGAAACAGAUACGACACAAUCAGAUCAGAUAUCACAUUAUAUUUCUGAAACCUUUGUGACAGACAUGUCUGGGGGCAUUAAGAAGACUAUUCCGAUUGAACCUGGCUCAAAGAAGUUUGAAUCUGGCUACAUGACAAAAACAGACACUCACUUCGCCUUCACUACAACCACUUUGUCCAAACCAUUACAGAGCCUUUCUGUGAUAAGUGAAAAACGACAGGUCACGCUGCAGUCUGUGAUUGAUCCCAGAAGUGGCCAAGAACUGGAUGUCGAGGAAGCUUCUAGAAAAGGUUUAAUUGACCUUAGCAAAGGUUUGUACUGCAUUGCUGAAACAGGAGAGAGAAUACCACUGAAUGUUGCAAUUGAAAAGGGUUUUGUGAAGGCUGAGAAGACCAGCAAAGAUAUAAGUAGUGAGGAAAAGUUUCAAACCAUCAAGGAAACAAGAGCUUUCUCGAUCACUGGAAUUGUCCACCCAAAAAGUGGUGCAAGGUUGACAGUCAGCCAGGCCAUCCAGAACGGCAUCCUUGACCAGGAGAAAGGUGUGUAUUAUGGUCUGGAUGAGAUGGACAGGUAUACACCGAUGCCCAUCAGUGAAGCUAUAGGGAGGGGGCUUGUGAUAGCUGAGGAUAUUGGAACUUCAGUUGAAGGACCAUCCUCGUAUGUGCGAGAGACCAAAACAUUUAUAUUGAAGUCAGUUACACACCCUAUCACAAAGAAACAGCUGACCCUCCCAGAGGCCAUCACAGCAGGGGUCAUCAAGGAAUCUGAAGGCCUUUAUAUUAACCCCAUCACUGGUUCAAAAAUGCCAAUUCAUGAAGCUAUUGAGAAGGGUCUGAUUCUAGCAGAACUUACAUCAGUCUCUGCAGAAACUGAUGUGGACAUCAACAAGGUCACCACUACUAAACUGACAACAUUGUCAGUGACCGCUGUCAUUGACCCAAGGAAUGGCAAGAUCCUUCCAGUCUCCAAGGCCAUAGCUGAAGGAAUACUAGAUGAGGCAAAGGGUCUGUACGUCAACCCACAGACUGGAGAGACUAUAGCUCUGAAUGAUGCAAUUGACAAGAGAUUGAUUUUGGCAGAGUCUGUAGAAGCAAGAUCAGAUGAUGCCUUAGAUAAGGCAGAAAUCUCCAGCAUUCAUCUUGCUGAAGAGCAGGAGUCAUUUGAAGCCACUCUUUUGGAAGACAUCAGCACAGAGACUGUGACUCUUAGUAUUAACAGUGUUGUUGACCCCCACACUGGGAACACAGUGUCUUACGAGGAAGCUGUAGGAUUGGGGAUCCUCAACAUCAAGUCAGGCUCGUAUGUUAACCCUGUGACCAGAGAGACAAUGACCAUCACAUCAGCCAUGGAGAAGGGUUUUAUUCAGGGGGAGGUCACUUCCAAGACCAAGGAAUCAGACAUAAUGAGGAGCUCAGUCACAGCAGAACAUGUGCCAUUUCCUAUAGAUGGCAUCACUUCAGUCAUUGAACCAAACACCAAGAAGGAAAUCUCAUUGACGACAGCUUUGCAGAAAGGCAUCAUAGAUAAAGAACUGGGCAUAUAUAAGGAUAGCAAGACAGGCAGGAGCAUAAACCUCAAAGAUGCCUUGGAACAAGGCCUUGUUCAGCAGUCAAAACACUCAGAUGCUCAACAGCUGGAGAAGUCAAUGGAGGAAGAGGAGGUCCUAGAGGCUCAGAUGUUAACUCCCAGAUCCCCCUAUGAUCCUCAGAAACAGUGGUCUAAAGUUGACAUGGAGGUUGAAAAGACAGUAGCUACUGACCAGCCAGCUCCUUCACUGGUGUCCACUGAAGUCCUGCACUACUCAACAGACGUCGAAGACAAGAUGAGAUCACAACCACAGUCCCAAAAGGAACGUUCGUUGCUGCCUGAGGGACUUUCUUAUGAAGAAGCUAUUUCCCUUGGAAUUGUUAACAGCCAGACAGGCACUGUCAGAGAUCCAUCAUCAGGUAAAGUCAUGUCCCUUGACAAAGCCAUUGCUGCUGGCAUCAUCAGCUUAGACCGGCCAGCUGUAACUGACCUUACUACUCAGAAACCCUUGACCCUCGCAGAAUGCUUAGAUAGGCAUAUAAUUAAUCCAGUCACUGGAAAACUUGACUCUGAAAAAGCAGAAGCUCAGGGCAUCACCAGUAUGAAACAUCUCAAACAAAAUCUUCCAAUGAACCUUCUUGAUGCUGUGGCCAGUGGUUUAUUUGACCCAAAGACGGGGAAGUUUUUGGAACCAGUUUCUGGCCAGCACUAUUCACUACAGAGUGCAGUCAGUAAAAAUGUGAUAGAUGGCUCUCUGGUUACAGUUAGAUCAUCACAAAACAUGGAAAGACUUCCUCUGAAACAGGCUAUGCAUAAAAAUGUGAUUGAUGGAAAGACAGGUGAAGUCUUAGAUAAGUCCACCAACCGAAGGAUUCCAUUACCUCAGGCUAUUGAAGAAAGGCUAGUGGAAAAUGCUUUUGAUUUAGACUCUCAAAGCAUCAUUGACCCACGUAGUGGUCAGUCAGUUGCAUUGGACCAGGCCAUUUCAAAAGGCACACUGCGAUCAGAAAAUUUGACUGUACUGGACACAAGGACAGGAGAGCAUGUUUCUAUGGAUGUUGCUUAUCGUCGAGGUCUUGUGGACAGAAGUGGCAAUGUCCAGGACAAAAUGACUGGCCAAAAGACUUCUGCCCAAGAUGCACUGAAAAUGGGACUUCUUGCAGUGAUAGGUGCCCCAUUGGUGGCUGGUAAAGUGGUGGUGGAAGCCUUGCAGACCCACACUGACAAGCAUGGGGAAGAACUUUCUGGAACCAGAAAGGUGCAGCCAGUGAGUUCCAGAGUGACGGUAGAGGUUUCUUUAACGGAAGAAUCUACUCAGCCAGACAAACCAUUGACAACUAUUGUGUAUGCAGGACCUGGAGAUCAGAUCCGACCAGCAGCACCAAAGGUAAUGAUUGAGUCGAGCAGGGACGUCACACAAGAUGAAGGCAGUGUCACACAGAUUAGAAGCGAAGUUACACAAAUUAGAAAGGAAGUCACACAAAGUGGAAGCAAUGUUAAACAAAUCAGAAAUGUUGCGCAGCUUGAAAGCGCUAUCACUGAUAAACAGGGCAUGCCGGUGGUGAGAGAAGUAGUGGUUAAAUCAACAGAUGCCAUCACAGCCCCUUCAUCCCUGCCAUCAACAGCCAUCAACUCCUUGAAAUCACCAGCUCAGACUGUGCAGCAUACACCUUCAUAUGAUCGGGAUAGUGUGACUUCUGUCAAAACUGUCUCUGAAAAGACUUUUCUCCCCAAUUCUGUUUCUUCCAGCAGAACAGCUGAGAGUAGCCAAGAUGUGGACAUAGACUGGUCUUCCAGCUCUGUGACUGUCAAGUCUACAGGGCAGAAGAUGAGUGUUGCACAGGCAGUCCAGAAAGGGCUUUUAGACUCUGAUAUGGUCGAGCAGUUAGCUGUCAGCUCAGUGGGUUUGAAAACAGCUCCAGAGAUAAAGAUUGACUGGGACAAGGGAGAAAUCUCAGAUCUUGCUAUGAGCACGACGUACACCAUCGAUGAAGCUGUAACCAAAGGUCUGAUUGAUGAACCUACAGCCAUGGCUCUGAAAGCUGUAACUGAGGACAGUAGUGCAAGGUCUCCUUCCCAGAAAGGUGAUACAUCUGUAUCCUUCACUUCUAAGAUAACUAAAACUGUCAAAUCUGAGCAAAGAAUUUCUGGACCAGAAGGAAUAACACUCACCGAAAGGACUCCUGAAGCAUCAGUAAGGUUCAUUACAGUGGAGGAAGAAAAGCCAUACACACUGAAUGAUGCAGUCAAAGAUAAUGAGUAUGUACCUGAAACAGGACAGAUUCUUGAUCCCCAUUCUGGCAGACCUUUGACAGUUAUGGAAGCUUUGAACAAGGGAGUGAUUGAUGGGAAGUCCUCCAGCAUUGUGGAUCCAAAGACAGGUCAGAAGAUGGUGCUACAGCAAGCUAUUGAAAGUGGAAUCUUCAACCCUGUGACUGCUGAGCUAAUUCAUUCGGAUACCAAAGAGAAGAUAACUCUUCAGGAAGCCUGUUUUGAAGGUCUGAUUCCUGGAACCACAGACUCUGACCUACAGCCACGCAGUCCUGUUCGGCAGAAGGUGAUCAAGGUCACAGAUGCUAAAAUGACUUUACAAGAUGCUAUACAGCAAGGCCUAGUUGACCAAGAAAGUGGUACUUUUAGUGAUCGCUCAACAGGAGAUAUUAUUUCUCUGGCUGCUGCCAUUGAAUAUGGACUUAUUGCUGAUCCGGAAGCUAUACCUUCUGUCUUGGCAGAACCCAAACCAAGGGUGGCACAAGUCGAACGCACCCACAUUACACUUUCAGAGGAAAGACGUGUACUGAGAGAGAGGGCAAGCAAGCAGACAGAGCCAAGUCACCGACUGUCAUUUGCGGAAGCUUUGGAUAUGGGCUACAUAAACUUAGAACAACAGCAAUAUGUUGACCCUAAUUCUGGAAAGCGCAUGGCCAUCCUUGAUGCUGUGAGAAAUCAGAUUCUCGAUACAUCCACACCUUUAGAGAACCAGCAUACAGAGGGUAUGAGUAUCACAGCUGCUAUUGAGGAGGGUCUGUUUGAUGAACAGCAUGGCACCUUCCAAGAUCCAGGAACAGGGCAGAAGUUGACAUUCGAUGAAGCAAUCAGGACAGGUAGUCUCAGUGGAAAGUUCACAGUGUAUGAAGUAAAGACGGGAGAGAUCUUCAACUUGGAGGAGGGCCUGGAUGAAGGGAAACUUGAUCCCAAGACAGGCAAGUUUGUUGACAAGGAGAGGAACAAGACUAUGACACUUCAAGAAGCAGCAAAACUUGGUGCUCUUGCAAUUAUAGGAGCACCAGUUGCUGGAGCUGUAGCAGCCAAAGACACACUCACAGCCUUCUUUAGCAAAAAAAAACAGAAGGAUGAGAUUGAUCUAGCGCCACCAGGAAUUGUUUUUCAAGCAACAACUGUACAGCAAACUGCACCAAGUGUGUUGGAAGUAACUACAGAGCAGCAGAUGGUUCCAGAAACUGAGCGGCCUGAGGCCAUGAAUUUAAUGGAGGCAGUGUCGAGUGGUUCGCUCAAAACAAAAUCAGGAAUGUUUAGAGAUCCAGUAAAAGGCCAAGAAAUGACACUAAGCGAAGCUGUGCAGCAAGGUUUCAUCCGUGCAGGCUCUGCCACUAUAACUGAUCCCAAGACAGGCCAGAAAAAGAAUCUAAAUGAAGCUUUUGCAGAUGGCACCUUGGGAAAAACUGGGCGUUUGAAAGAUAAGACUGAUAAAGUGAAAAACUUGGACCAACUCAUUAUUGAUGGAACUGUACAGGAGUCAAACUUAAGUUUGCCUUCAGACACUUCUAGCAUUUUCUCUAAGACAACUGAAAAGAUUAAUGUGAGUUCUGUGGUUGACCCAAGAACUGGCCAGAACAUCACCUUACCUAAAGCCAUCCAAGAAAAAAUAGUGGAGCUUUAUGAUGGCACAUAUGUAGAUCCAGCUUCAGGGCAAAAGAUUGCCAUCACAGAGGCUUUAAACAAAGGUCUCAUUCAAGGCACUGUAGUGGACAGAGUCUCGACUAAAGAAGAAAAGACAAAAGCUGGGUUCACUGCUGAUGUUGCUUUUUCAGAAAGAAAAACGCUGAAAGUUCAUUCUGUGAAAGACCCACAGACGGGGUACAGCAUAUCUUUGAAAGAGGCAGUAGACAAGGGCAUAGUAGAUAAAGAAGGUAAGCAUUACACUGAUGUCACAGGACAGAAGAUGAGCAUGGAGACUGCUGUACAGAAACAGCUCAUUAAGGCAACACCAGUCGAGAGCGAGAUGAUCGCUGAAGAGAGAUACUUGAGAUCACAGCAGGACGUCAUUACUCAGACAACAUCCUUUCAAAUCAAGUCUGUUAUUGACCCUGCUACAAACCAGGAGUUAUCAGUCUCUCAAGCUGUUCAGCAAGGCAUACUCAACGUUGCUGCUGGGACCGUUAGUAAUCAGAGGACUGGUGAAAUGUUGUUGAUUGGGGAAGCUCUCAAGCAAGGAUUACUCAGGGGAAGGGAGACAAGUCCAAGCCAAGCAGAGCCUUUCCUUUGUGAAACUGAACAUGCAAGAGACAGUGUGUAUGAUCCUGAAAAAGAGGAGUACAUCAGUUGGAUGCAAGCUGUCAACAAAGGUAUCAUUGAUGUCACUGCUGGCAUGUAUCAUGUGUCACCAUCUGAAAGCAUAUCUGUCUCACAGGGUCAGAAGGAGGGCUUGAUUAAAACACAGGACAUUCAAGACGCUCUCAGACUUGAGGAGAAAAGAAAGUCAUACGACAUUCUGUCAGUGUAUGAUCCCAACAAAGGCAAGGACAUUUCUGUUACUGAAGCAGUUUCGAUAGGCCUUCUAGACCUGCAGAAAGGAACUUACAAUGACCCCUUAACUGGGAAGCCUGUACCAGUACAGGAAGCAUGUCAGAAAGGUGUCAUUAAAGGAUAUUCUGCCCACCCCAUUGCGACCAGGGCUCCAGUAAAGAUUGGAGAGCAUCUUGUAAAGUCUGCAGUUGACACACAAUCUGGAGAACUGAUAGGUGUUGUGGAUGCACUCAGGAGGGGCAUCCUAGAUCAAGGGGAUUGCACUUUCCUGAGUCUCAGCACUGGUCAGACCAUACCUGUGGCUGAAGCAGUCCAGCAAGGAUUAGUCAUUCUUGAGACAGAAGUAGCAGCCCCUGUUGUGACAUCUGUGGUGCAAAAGUCAAUGACCAUCACUGCAGUGGUAGAUCCAGCAAGUGGCGAUGAACUAUCCAUGGCUGAGGCUAUUGGUAGGGGUGUAUUUAAUCCAGAGAAAGGAGUAGUCAUUAACUCACACACAGGGGAACACAUUGAACUUGAUAAAGCUGUAGAUCUUGGUCUUAUCAGUGCUGAAGUAGUAGAAGGUCACAAACCUCAGGAGCUUGUAGUUAUCAAUGGAGUCGUCAUCAUGGAGACAAAAGAUCCUAGGACACAGGAAACAAUAUCCAUACGAGAGGCCAUAGAUCGUGGUUUCCUUGAUGAAAAGAAAGGCCUGUACUUUGAUCCCAUUUCAAACUCUUAUAUUCCUGUCAGAGAGGCUUUGAAACAAGGUCUUAUUGAAGGUAAGGAUGCAGUAGAUGGUGGUGUGUCAGAACAAAAGAAACAAGACGCCAAGCAGAUCAGUGUAAGCAAAGUACGAGACCCAGUUUCAGGAAGAGAAAUUGGCUUUGAAGAAGCUGUGGUGAAAGGCUUAGUUGAUCGCCAUUGCACAAUUUAUACAGAUACUGUUACUAAAGAAAAAAUGAACAUCGAAGAAGCUAUGAAGCAAGGUUUUGUAGCUGGUACCAUUCAAACAAUUACAAAAACCCAGACUACCAUCACCUCUAGAAAGCCGUUGGGCACUUACAACAUAACAGGUGUAAUGGAUACAAAGAGUGGAAAACAAAUUUCUGUGGAGGAAGCGGUUGACAAAGGCAUUCUGCAUCCAGAAGGUAAGCUUGUGGACACUUCAACUGGUCGACCAAUGCCCCUUGCAGAUGCUCUGAAGCUAGGUCUAGUUUACACUGAAAAAGUGGAUAAGGGACCAUUGGGGACUGGAACAACAUUUGUAGCUGACCAGAGAGAUCAGGCCUUGCGUUUCAAAGAUGCAAUGGAGAAAGGCUACAUUGAUUCCUCCACGGGGACUUUUUUAGACCCUGUCAGUGGCCGUCGAUACACUGUUGAUGAGGCUGUAAGAACAGGCUUACUUGUUUCCUCCUCUGGCAAGCCAUUUGAGUACAAAGGACUUGGCAAAGAGGGAUUGACAUACAGUUUUCAGAAUGCUCUUAUGAUGGGGCUGAUAGAACCCAGUAGCUGCUUGUUUGUGGAUAGCAUCUCUGGACGCCAGAUCUCUCUUGAGUCAGCUGUUAGCAAAGGUUACAUUUCUCCUAUUGCUGGCAAGUUUGGAGUGAAGACUAUGGGAGAAUCUGUUGUGAUUUUGAAAGGAGGUGUUUCCUCACCAGCUAUGUCACAGGUGGAAGAGUUCAUGGAUCCAAAGACUGGCGAAAAGCUCUCUAUGGCUGAUGCACAAAAGAGAGGGCUUGUUGAUGUGAAAGGCUCAGAUGAAAGGCUCAGCGUUGGAGAAGCUCUGCAGAGUGGGCUGGUGGAUAAAGACACUGGGCUUUUCCACGACCCAGUGUCAGGAGACAGCAUGUCAUUAGACGAAGCCCUUCUGUGUGGAUUUGUUACAUACGAUGAUACUGCCAAUGGCUAUGAUGAAGAGCAAGUGAAGAAUGUUGAGCACAUCCAAAAAGUUGCACCUGCACCUUUGUCCAUUUCUGAAGCUGUGGUGACAGGUUUGAUUGACACAGAUCAGGGAAAGUACACAGAUCCCAUCAGUGGGAAAUCAGUCUCUGUGGUACAAGCUCUGCAGCAUGGCAUCAUCAAACCCACUCUGUCUGUUGGAGAACCGAUCAUACAGGAUCUAGCCCAAACUGCAUCGCCCAAGCAGUAUGUACGGAUCACAGAGGGCUCACCUUUGGUGCCAAAGAAGGGCGUAAUCAUGAGUGAUGCUGGACAUGUGGUGUCUAGAACAUUUACUGAAGUCACCAUGACAACAGGCAGUGCCACCUACACAAGUAAGCCAGGAUUCUCCAUCAGCUCUACAGGGCAAGUGGUCAACAUGACCACUGGGGAAAAGAUGUCUAUUCCCGAUGCUGUAGCCGCUGGAAUUGUCGAGGCAGAAGUGGAAGAAGGAGCCAGCUCUGUCCAGGUAACAGCCAGUGAGACACCUUCUCCAGACAGAUCUUCAGCUUCUUCACCAUUUGUUAAAUACAAGACAUGCCCUGGAAAGGAAGAACAUAUCCUUGUUUCAAGGAUGACAGGUUUUCAGUAUGCAGUUAAAGAUGAAGUGGAUGCUACUUCACCAGCUCAUGGAAGUGAAACUGUUGAUUUACAAGAUGUGCAGUCUGUCCAGCAUCUUCAUCAAAAUGUGCAUACUAAAUUUAAUCUUGCCAAUGGACAGUGUGAAAAUAAAAAACUUGCUGCUGAUGAUGAUUUGCAGCGUUUCUCACGUAAUUUGCUUGAAUAUUUCUGGGAUGACCAUUUAGAGAAGUUGGUUCAUCCCAGAAAAGGGACCAAGCUAGGUGUACAGGAAGCUUUGGGAGUUUCAUUGAUUCCCAAAAAUAUAAGAGUUCAGCAGUUUCAUAAAGAUGAGCAUGUAGCUUUGACAGAUGCGUUAGCUUCAGGUCAGGUGGACAGGAAGUAUGGGAGGGUUGUCAGCAUGAAGGAUGGCAGCGUUUUAAGUCUCAAGGAAGCCAUUAAGAGAGAUGUAAUCUUUGUUGAAUCUUCUUCCUCCCUUGAUGCUCAUAGUGCAGCUCAGUCAUUGUCUGCUGUUAAGAAGGAAUUAGGUUGUGGGCUGUUUGAGCUGAUUGUGGCUAGAAAAGCUAGUAUGACUGUUAGGAUUAUGGACAGAAGGACUGGGAAAAAAUUCAAACUCCCAGAUGCUAUUGCACAUUCCAUCUUCAAUGCAGACACAGCUCACGUCAAAGACACUGUCUCAGGGAAGUGGUUUUCUUGGGAGGAUGGGCAAAGGGCAGGGGUCAUACAUGAUUCCAGAAAGCUUUCUCUGCAUCAGACACUAACAUCUCCCAUUUUCAAUCAGAAUCUCGAAGGCUUUCUUGAUCCAUCUGGUCUUGUCAGUAACCUGCUGACUCUAGAGGAAAUGCUUCAGCGAAACCUGGUGGAUGUCAGCAAGAAGGAAGUCUUUGAUACAGAAAUAGGAAAGUGGUUGACUAUGGAAGAAGCCAUCAGUGUAGGUGUUAUUGAUCCCAUCCAAAAUAAAUACUUCCACAAGAAGAUCGGCAAAAUCUUACCUUUGCCUGAUGCUCUUGAAGCAGGGCUGAUCUGUGAAGAUCCUGUAGAAGAAACAAGUACUUCAGACAAGUCAGAACAUCAUGUAAAUGGAAUCUCAAGAUCCCAUUCAGGGUCUUCCAUUUCUGAAGUUGAUUUAGAUGCAACAACUGUUUUUCCUUUGCCAGUUUACAAAGCAGUGUGCGAUGGAUUGAUCAAUUCACUUACUGGAGAUGUGAUCAUAUCUGACAAAAAAACCAUUCCUUUCAAACUAGCCUACGAGGAAAAGCUGUUGAAGGCAGAAGACACAUACAUUGUGGAUAGGUGUACUGGUGUUGUGUAUACUUUUAAAGAAGCAGCAAACUGUGGACUGGUGGAAGUCCCGACUGGUUCUGUCUUUGACACAUACACUGGUAAAAAGCUAUUGCUCCCAGAGGCCAGAGAGCAAGGACUUCUCAGAGACACUCCACAGCCACACCUUCCACUUGCAGUGGCAGCUGAGCUGGAGCUGUUUGAUUUUGAUGAACAGAGGAUUCUCCACCCACACUCAAGACAGCCUCUCUCACUGACCCAAGCCAUGACUGAGGGCAUCAUUGAUCCUGCUUCAAAGCUGACAACGCCAUCAGGAGACUUGACCACUCUUCAAGAGGUGAUAAAAGAAGGCCUGUUGAAUCUUGACACACUAACCCUCUCAUUCCCAGAUGGACGAUCAAUGUCUCUGAAAAAAAGUGUUGGUCUUGAAGAAGGCAAACAGCCAAACACUUAUGAGUUUGGUAGAAAGAAAAGUCUAACCCUUGAUGAAGCCAUCAGCUCUGGCUUGUAUGAUCCUGUGUCAAACUCGGUGAGAUCCAGCGAUAGCCUCAUCAGUUUUUCCAAAGCUUUGAAAUCUGGUUUGAUCAACACAGAUUCUUUAGUUAGGGAUCCCUAUAGUGGGGAUAUCCUUUCUCUAAAGGAAGCGUUGGACAAACGUAUCAUUGACUCAGAAUGUGGAAAAAUGAUUGACACCCACGGCAUUCCUGUGGCCUUAAACUUUGCCAUGGAAAAAGGGCUUAUCUUAAAAUCAAAAGCCCCUCUGAAUCUGUCACUUUCAGAGGCUUUGGACGAAGGCUUGUUCAAUGUUUUGUCAAACAGAUUUCUUAAUCCAGAUUCUAACGAAGAGGUUGAUUUUAUAACAGCAGUUGAUCAAGGUAUUCUUGAUACAGAGUUCAUCAGGGUUCGAGACACUCGAUCAGGAAGUAUAGUGACUUUUGAUGCUGCUGUUGAUCAAGGGCUCAUUGAUAUCCACCAAGGGUUCUGCAUAAAUGCAGAAGAUGGUGAAGAAUUCUCCAUUGUGGAUGGAAUGGACAAGGGCAUUAUCAUUGAUACGACUAGCCAACCAGCUGUUACUCUAGAGGAAGCACUGGAAGAAGGGAUUUUAGAGGUGGAGACUUGCACAUUUAAAGAUCCAUAUGGCCAGAUAUCUUUGACCUUGAAAGAUGCUCUGGAAUCAGGUCUGCUCAACAGAUUCUCUGUCUCUGUUCGUGACAUAAACACUAAAAGUCUGCUUUCUCUAGAUGGCGCUAUUAAUCAAGGUCUGAUUGACCCCGUGACGGGGAUGUAUAGGAAAAGUGAAGAUGAUGAAGUCAUGUUUAAGGAAGCACUAGAAAAAGGAUUAGUGUUUUCAGAUGUGUGUAUACUAGACAAGAGCUUGAUGGAUUCAGUGAAACAAGGUCUGUAUAAUCCCAGAACUUGUAAGUUCACUGACCCAUCAACAGGCAGAGUUCGCACUCUGAAAGAAAUGGUGAGAGAUGAAAAAGUGGAUCCACAGCUUGUGCUAGUGCUAGACAAGAGUGAAAAGCGGCUGCUGUCUUUCGAAGAGGCCAUUGAGGCAAAAGUGUUGGAUGUGAAGCGAGGCUUAGUUGUUGACACUGAAACCGGAGAAUUGCUAAACCUGAAAGAAGCCAUGGGGUGUGGCUUGUUGCAGGAAAACAUCAGUAGCAUCUCGGUAUCACUCAAACAGGCUGUUGACACAGGCCUACUGCACAAAAGCCAAGGAAGGAUUGUUGACCCAUUGUCACGCAAACAGUUGGUUGUAGAGGAUGCUAUCAGUGUGGGACUCAUUGAUGUCUCGUGCUUGUUGGUCAAGAAUCAGGACAAAGAAAGGUAUCAGUUUUUAGAAGAAUCUGCACAUGAUGGCAUUGUUUUCGUGGAUGAUGAUAGUAUUGUUUAUGCUAGAUCAGGAGUGGCAGUAGAUGUUGUCACAGCAUUUGAAAAGAACUUACUUAUUGAGAUUCCUCAGAAUGGAUUCCUGCUGGGUGAUAUUCUUUCAUCAGGUCUUUAUGAUGAGCAGAACAAGAGAUUCAAAGACCCUUUGACUGGAAAAAGUUUGACUCUUACUGAAGCUAUUAGUAGUGGUGUGAUAAAUGCAAAUCACCCCCAGGUGGUUGUUCCAAGUCUUGGGAAAUUUUCUCUCCAGCAAGCCAUCCAGAAAGGCAUUAUAGAUCCAAAUACUGGCGAUUAUAUUGCAUUGGACAAGCCACUGACGCUCUCAGAUGCCAUCUUGUCAGGUCGAGUUUCAGCACUAAGUAGGUCGACCUCAAACCUUACAGCCAGCAGCACCAAGCACUGUCAUUCCAUUGACAAAGGAACACUGAAGGCUUCAUUGAGCGAACCAAUCUUUGAUCUGCGAAAAAGAGAACCAUCCAAAACUGCUGCUAGUUUUCUUUCAUCGAAUGACAAAUUUGCUAAACAGGGGGAGACUUCAGGCACCUUGGAUUCAAUGGUAAGUCAUAAAUAUAGUGUUGAUGAAGAUGGGGAUGGUCAUGACAAAGCAGCUGACUAUGCACAAACAGCAAAGGUGAAGAACUUGAUAAAGAUGCAGAUGAAAAGGAUGAGUGAGUCUUUCAACGAACAGCUACAGGAAGACAGACAGGAUGGACCAACCAGCAUGCAGUCCUCGGUGCUUUCCUUAACCAGCAUGAGCAGCUCAUUUACAAGCAGCUCACUGUCCGUUGCUAAUCAACAAUCCAGAGAGGAAACAUACUACCAGGGUGACAGCACACCAGCCCUCACUGAGUCCAUUGUCAUCACACCUAACCAACCUUUGCACCUGCACAUGAAGUCUCAUUCGGCAGGCAAUCUGUUGGAUGCAGCAGCACUGAGUAAGCGACUGAGCAGGGAGAUGGAAGCUGCUUCCCCAAGCCUGGGGAACAUUCAUCAGAUCAUGAGGCCACAAGAAGCAUCCCAUUUAGACAUGGCAGACCUCCCGGGGUCACAUUGGGCACCCCCUGCAAAUGAGCUGUCAGCUUCACUGGAUUCUCUUAUUCUGGAUGCUAUUCGAAAACAGCAAAUUGAGCAGAAACCAAUGCCCCUUUAUGAUGUCAUACGAAAUGGUUUAUUUGAUGAUGACACAAACAUGUUUUGUGACCCAGAGACUGACAAGAUGAUGGAUUUGCUUGAGGCCGUGUCCACAGGACUGAUUGAUCCAUCUCACAAGGAGGUGAUCAAUCCUGUCACAAAACAGCCAGUCACACUAGCAGAUGCCAUGCAGACAGGGGUCAUUGAUGCUGCUUUAUGCAAAUUUGUAGAUGAAAGCACCGGAGCUCAUCUUUCUUUGCAGCAAGCCAUUGAUGUUGGCUUGAUUUUCAAAGAGAAAGAAAUAAGAAAAGCUCCAGUUGACAUAUUUGUUGAGGAAAUUUUACCUGACUCCACAUCUUCUGGCAGGAAAAAACUAGAAGAAGCAUUCAGCAAUGGCAUUUUGCACAGAUCCAAUUCUCAAGUGAUCGAUCCAGAUAGCAUAAAUGGCAUCACACUCAGGCGUGCCGCCAGUCUUGGCUUGAUAGACGUCAAGACUGGAGAUUUCAAGAAUCCUCAGACUGGCGAAUGCAUGUCCCUAGCUGUGGCAGUGGAGAAAGGGUUCAUACUGAGCCCUAAGGGUCUGACAUUGUAUGGUGCUGUAAAUCAAGGGUUGUACAUUGAUGCUACGGGCCUCUUCCAGCACCCAACCACAGGGGAGACAAAGACCUUACAGGAUUUAAUCAAUGAUGAUAUUGUGUCAUCACUGUGUCCAGAGGUUAAGGAUCUUGCUCAAGACAGUAUUGUAUCCCUUGCAGAAGGAAUUAAACGUGGCAUCAUUAAUGUUGAGAAAGGGCUUUAUAUUUGCAAGAACAAGGCCAAGACCUACAGUUUCAGGGAAGCUGUUGCUGCAGGCCUUAUAGUCAGUACAAGUGCUCGUGAAGGUCUUCCAGAAAUACAACAAAGGCCAAAGCUUUCCUUAUCAUCUGUCCCUUUCUGUGCAAUGAGCUUUGAUGAAAGCAAGGUCAUUAAAAAGGAACCUGGUGAUAGCAUCCAUAGUGUACCCUUCAGAAAGUCUCUCUCUGACCCAGGGCAAGGGGUCAUUCAGAGAGAUCGAAGGCACGAACAUCCUGCUUCCUCUAGUGCAAACCAUGAAGAGUCUGAAAAUGGAAGUAUUUGGAAGGCUUCUGAAAAACAAAAUGCAUCCAAAGAUGUGUGUCCCGAGAGUCUUCUGUCUAGCUGUAGUGAUAAAGACAAUACUGGGUAUACUGAAGGAAUCAAGGCUUUGCAAACUACACAAAAGAUUUUGCCAAAACUCAAAACAGAGGCAGCUGUAAGCCCUCAGAUUUCUCUAUUGACCUUUGAUCAAGAAAAUGAAGACCAGUCUAUGAUGAGAAUAUGCCAUCUACAGAAGAGGCUAACAGUUGAGUCUGAUGGUCUUUCAGGAAACCUGACACCCAGCUUUGAUGUAGCCCCAGAAGUAAUCACUUUGCCUGUAGUGGCUGAGUCUGAAAUUGUUGACAAGCUUGUAAAGCAUAGAAGAGAAGCAACUGAUACAUCUUUAGCUGCAGCCUAUACACAUCCAGAAGAUCACCAUCAUCCAGACACAAACUUCUCAGCAGUUGAUGUUCUCCAUGGUGCACAACACACAGGUAAAGAUGCAGUAGAAGAACUGUUGAAAGCCACUAGUGCUCGUGGAGCUGCUAGGGAAAAGUUGGACAAUGCCGACCAAAAUAACACUCAGGACACAAAGGCUAAACACAAACUGUAUGUGCUGUCGGAGGUUCAAAACUCAGUACCUACCACAUGCCCUUCUCAAAGCAGAGAAAGCUUGCAGAUUGCUAAUAAUACUACUUCUGGGCAAGACUUGAGUGUUACCAAGCCAUACACCACUAAAACAGAGAGAUUGUCACCAAGUGCAGAUCUGCCAGUGUUGACAAAUACAUACGGCAGACAUGAUGAACUUGGUCUAGAUGAAUCUUUGACAGAUGCCUCUCAAUUGCAAGGUCAAAGUGAGGUCUGGCCACUUUCAAGAGAUAUGCAGGGAGCAGACAGGUCUGGUGAGGUUUGGGUAGUUGGAAAAUCUUUGAAGGCCAAGGAGGAGAUGCAGAUGCACAGUGCUGUGUCUUCUGCCCUCAUGGACACAAGAGGCACAAUAACAUCUUAUGAGGAUGUAUUACUCAGCGACCCAAGGAAAGUUGAACAAGCACAGGACUUGCAGAUCAUAAACAGGUCUGAUAAAACAUUACCAUUGAGUAAGUCAUGGGUAGAUAAUUCCCCUCAAAGACAAGAUAAGGUUGUGAUUCCUUCAGUUUUAGUUAGUGCAGACAACCCUCCCAUGGUCUUGGGAUCAGUUGCACCAGAGUUUCAUGGAUCACAGAGUCAGAGGCAGGGAACAGUUUCCCUGCAGUUAGCACUUUUGCAACAGUCAAAAGACGACCUUCACAGUGUCUGUGGUGUAAAUGAAGAGCUGUCCAAUUCAAAAGUGCCAGAAGUGGAAGAGAGCAAAGGAUUUACACCAGAAGGGACUUCAGGCUCCAUUAGUUGGGUUAGGGAUAUUGGUGUCGGCAAACAUAUGGAGGUACGGCAUCUAGAUACUGGGCUUGAGCCAUCUGAAGAGGAAACAGGCAAAUUUCAUAUGUGGGAUCAAAGAACUCGUGCACAUAAUAAUUUACAAGACAUUUUCCUGCCAGGAGAAUAUUGUGAGAUGCAGGUCUUCAGUGGCAGACAAUCAGAAAUACCAGAACUGCAGCCAGGUAGUAAAUUAUCUCCAGAAACAAGAGUGUCAUCAUCUGUGAAGGAGGAAUUGACAGAACGCUCAAAACAGGAAGCAUCUGAUAAACUUUUACAUACCAAAUCCAGCUGUAGAACGAAACCUACUCAUAGAGUUCGCUUCAAAGAGCCAUAUCCGGAGGCUGAUGAAAUUGACAGCAUAGCUUCUACAGACACAACUGACACCACAGAAACAGAAGACAGCGACAGAUUGGGUCACACCCUUCGUGCAGCUGUUCAGAGCAAAGGCCUGGCCUUGGACAAAUCUCAGGGUUCAAUACAACCUGACAGCGAUGCCAGCACUCCAGAGGCUGAGGCUCAGCGCUUGACGGACAUACUUUUCAAACUCAAUCUGAAGACAGGCAGCACAGCCCGCGAACGACGCAAGGGGCGACUGGCAGAUUCCUUUGACAGUAUAGUGCAGGAGCUAAUGACAGAACAAGAACACCUUGGAGACCUUGAGCAGAUUCUUAAGCAUGACUCACAGAUGGGUGAUGAAGCAAGUAAAGUGAAGCUUCAACUCGAGGCUCAUAAGUCCACACAUGAGAAGAUACAGUCUCAACAGCAGCCCAUCUUGUCCUUGGUGUACAAGGCUGAGCAACUGACGGAGAACUACCAAGAAGAACUGACACCAGAGCAAGUGACCCAGCUGACUACACAGGCAUCACUCCUCAAAGCAACACUUGAAAAGGUCAGCAAGACAUCAGAGCGGAGGCUUAGCCACUUGACAAAGGCAGCAGAUGAGCUGGCCAAGUUUGAAGAGGAAUCAAAGAAGUUCAGAACAUGGAUGGGAGCAGCUUUCAGUGAACUGACCAACCAGGAGGACUACCUCAAACGUUUUGAGGAUCUGAAAGUCCUGGGAGAAAAGCACCGGGAGCUUGCAAGUGAUAUUAGCUCACAUCAGGCUGACCACCGCUUUAUGUCCAUGGCUGUCCAAAAAUACAUGGAAGAAGCCAAGCUUUACAAGUUGGAAAUGGACUCAUUUCGAGCUGACAGAGCCCGUCCAGCGAGACACAGCCUGAUCAGCAUGGAAUGUGUUGCUGCUGAUAAUGUCAAAGACAAGCUAACAGACCUUACAGAAGAAUACCAUGAUCUCAGCAAUCGCUGCAACCUCUUGGGUGAUCGUCUAGCAGAUCUUUCUGGCAAACACCGCCAGUUCAAUGAUGUGGCAUUCAAGCUUUUGACUUGGUUGACAGAUAUGGAAGGCCAGCUGUCAUCUGUGAAGCAGGAUGCUGGGUUAUCUGAACCACAACAGCUGCAGGUGCAUUUAGAUCGCCUGAAGUCACUCAGCAUGGAUGCACUGAGUCAGAAGCUGUUGCUGGAUGAGAUGCAGAAACGUGGCCAAGAUUUGACCAACAGCUUAAGUGGUCAGGCUGCUGAACAGCAACAGGUAGCCAAAUUGCAGAGCACCAUGAACGACCUCUCGGUUCGUUACAGUACCCUUACCAAAGAUAUCAAUUCUCAUGUGACACAACUGCAGGCAGCAGUGACUCAUUCACAGGACAUCACUCAGGCCAUGAAUGAACUUGUGUCAUGGAUGGACAGCGCCGAACAGGUAGUCACCACUCAGCUGCCUAUCUCUUUGCGGCGGCCUGAGCUUAAUGCUCAGCUACAAAGUUUUUCCGCUGUGGAUGCAGAUGUAACAAACCACCAGUCAGCUCUCGAUGCGGUGAAGGCACUGGCCAAUGAGCUGGUUAAAACCUGUGAGCUGGACAUCGCCAGAGCUGUGGAGCAGCGCUUGACCUCCCUGGAUGAGAAAUUCAGUAGUCUGCAAGCAAAGUGUAGACAGCGGGACAGAGAUCUUGAAGAGGUGGACAGCAGUCUGCGAGAGUUCCAGGAAAAGCUAGAGCAGACAAACUUAUGGGUGCACGAUGGCAUCUUGCAACUAGACUCUAAAGAACUCAGCAAGUUGUCCAGCGAUGACAUGAAGCAGCAGCUUGAGAAGCUUGCACGUGAGAAGCACAACCGACUGAGGACAAUUCAGGAGAUCCAGGUGGCAGCAGAACAGCUCCUUCAGGAUCCACGUACAGGAGAAGGAGAAGCAGUCAAGAAUCUGGUGUCUGAUCUAAAAAAGAACCUAGAAGCCUUCGAUAGCCUGCUAGCAGCCAAAGAAAAUGAGGCUAGUGACAAGGAACAACAGGGAGCAGACUUUGAGAAUGCUAAGACGAUUGCCUUACUUUGGUUAUCACAGAUGGAAGCCCGCCUAGAUGAGUUUCAGCCUGUGGCUAUUGAUGUUGGCAUUGUAGAACAGCAGAAGAUGGAAUUACAGCCUAUGCUUCAAGAAUAUGAAGACUAUGCUCCAAAAAUUGAUGAAGUAAAUGAUCUUGGAAAUGCGUAUGAGGCUAUGAUCAACCCUGGAGAUCGGCCUAUAAGUCCAAUCCGCCGCAUUGGACGCUCUCGCCGUUUGCCAGGCAUUUUGUCACCCAGACUUCGAUCACCAUCCCCCACUUUUCCCACUUCUCCCUCCACUCAGCGUGCCAGUCCUUUGUCCAGUGAAUCUAGUGGAGUCAGCAGCCGUAAAAGCUCAGCAGAUAAUUUACUGCUCGAUGAUCUAUCAGAAGUACAGCAGCAAUUGCUGGACAUCACUCAGCGAUACGAGAUUGUGGGUGAGCGUUUGGCAGACCGACAGCAGGAGCUGCAGUUGAUGCUGACCUCCAUCCGCACCUUCAUGCAAGACAUGCAGGAUAUACUUCAGUGGCUGGACCUCAAGGACCAUGAAACAGACUCAGCACAGCCCUUGCCCACAAAUGAAAAGGAUGCAAAGAAAAGACUGAAAGAGCAUGAGGUUUUCCACCGUGAGAUACUCAGCAAGGAAGGAUUGGUAGAGGAUAUUCGCAAGAAGGCUCAGGACUUGCUGAAAACGCGACAUGGUGUGCCAGGAGAGGAAAUGCUUCAGCAGCAGCUACAAGAACUUGAUGACAAGUGGCACGGACUGCGAGCUUUGUCAGAGCAGCAGCGUAAAGGCCUGGAAGACAUGGUCAGUGACCUCCGUGACAUGCGUGAGCAUGAACAGCAGCUAACACUGUGGCUUGCUCAGAAAGAUCGGAUGCUGGAUGUUCUUGGUCCUGUUGCCAUGGAGCCCAACAUGCUAGCAUCACAGAUGGAGCAAGUGAAGGUGCUGAGAGAAGAACUUUCUGCACAAGAACCCACUUAUGACCAUUUCCUGAACUGUGCACAUGGCAUUCUUGAACGCUGUGGCGACAAAUCGCAAGAUGGCAUUGCUGUUAGCCGCAGACUGGACACUGUCAGCAAAGCCUGGAAUAAGCUGCAGUCACGCUUAAACGAGCGUUCUAAGAACCUCAGCUCAGUGGAGGGCAUCAGCGUCGAGUUUGCAUCUCUCACUAGAGGGCUUGCAGACUGGCUAUCUGAUUUCAGUGACAAAUUAGAUGGACAGGGGAAAGUUAGCUCGCAACCUGAUAAACAGCACAAACAACUACAAGAAUUGAAGCAACUUGAAUCAGAACUGAUUGUCCAGCAGCCUCGGCUGGCACGGGCACGUGACCUCUGUCGACAGCUUUGUGACAAAGCUAAAGAUGCUUCCACAAAAACAGACCUCCGCAGCAAACUGACUGCCUUAGAAAAAGAUAUGAACGACACAACCAGAAAACUUGAGAUUUGCAAGGCCGCUGUGGAGGAGGCCAGUCAGCAGGCUGAGAAAUUUGAAGCAGACUGCAAAGAAUUGUUGACGUGGAUCAGCGAGGCUGCAAAUAACCUGCAAGAGUCAGAACCCCUCUCCAGUGAUCUAGAUAUCCUCAGAGAGCAGAUGCGCCAGAACAGGACAUUGCAGCAGGAACUUUCCCUGAAAGAACCCGAGAUUCGCCAACUGCUGGAGAAGGGAGAUAAACUUGUGAAAGAGUCUUCUCCCACGACAGAAGUGAGAGCAAUAGCAGAUAAAGUGGGUGAACUUCAGGGUGAGUGGACACGCCUUCAACAAGAGGUGACUGUCCAAGAUUCGCGCCUAACCAUGGCAGGCAGUCAUGCUCAGCAGUUCACAGAGCGUUUGGACAAGAUGGCCAUGUGGCUGCAGAUGACUGAAGAGAAACUGGAAAAAAUGAAACCCGAAGAUGUCGACCAAAAUACUGUAGUCCAUAAACUGAAAGAACUUCAGGGGGUGCAGAAUGAAAUGAUGAAGAAAUCUCAUGACCGUGAAAGACUGAAUAGUGAAGGUACUUCUCUCGUGGAAUGUGUAGACAGUGGCAAAGAAGCCAUUAAGCAACAAGUUGCCGUCAUCAACGAACGCUGGGAUGCAGUUAACAAGGCACUUUCAGAGAGAGCAAGCCAUUUGGAAGACUUGGGCCAGCGCCUUGGAGAGGUACAGGACAGUCUAGCGGAAGCCACCAGUGCAUUGAACAAGUGGGAAAACAAACUUGCUGUGCACAACAGUCUAGGUCUUUCUGCAAAAGACCCUAAACACAUCAACAGAAUCAAAGACCUUCUUGAAGACACAGGCUGGCUAGCAUCACAGCUGAAUAACACGGAAACCAUGCUGAAUAGCAUCGAAGUUGACGGCGGAGAAACCAGCAACCUCAGAGAUGAACUUAACAAGCUCCGUGGCCAGCACCAGACAUUGCAGGGAGAACUCUCAGAGCUGGUGGCAGAAAUGGAAACGGGGGCACAAAUUGUAGAACAGUUUCAGGGCCUGCUGAAGAUUGUGGGUGGCCAGUUUUUGGAGUUAGAAUCAGAACUUGGCAGCAAGACUCCAGUGUCCAGAGAUGAUGCAGAGCUGGGCAGUCAACUAGCAGACAUGAAGGAUUUCCUGACACGGCUUGGGGAAAAAGUGGAGACUCUAAAAGAUCUUGAGCAGCAAGCCAGUAGCCUUUGUAAUGCGGGUUAUGUGUCGGAUCCAGAACUACUAAAAUCACAAGUUGAAGCACUAAGCAACCAGCAUGCUAGUCUGACAGAGCGUGCCACACAGCGCCAGAGUGAUGUGGUAGCUAAUCAGCACAGCAUACAACAUUUGACUCAGGCCCUGAAUCUUGUAUGGGGUGACAUAGACAAAGCCUCCAGCACUCUGGAUGCCAUGGGUCCUGCAGGAGGAAAUGUGACAACAGUCAAAGCUCUGCAGGAGGAGCUCAAGGGUUUUGUUAAGUCCACCAUGGAACCCCUGCAGAAGCAAUUUGAGAGUGUAAGCAGGCAAGGACAAGCACUUAUCAAGACUGCUGUGGCUGGCUCAAAUACCACAGGGUUGGAGACAGACCUUGAGUCUCUGGCUGAAAGGUGGGCAGGGCUUGUUGAAAAGGUUGCUGAGCAUGAGAAGAAUCUGGACAGCGCUCUUCUUCGAACAGGCAAAUUUCAGGAUGCAAUGGCCUCUUUGCUGGACUGGCUUGCAGAGACUGAAGAGCUGGUAGCUAUGCAGAAGGCACCAUCACCUGAACAACGUGUUGUCAGAGCCCAGCUUCAAGAACAAAAACUGGUGCAGAAAAUGGUGACUGACCGCACUCCCAGCAUGAAGGCUGUUCAAGACUCGGGCAACCAGUUGAUCACUGGUCUGGACCCUGCUGAGCGCAAACACAUUGAAAGUGAACUCCAGCAACUAAACAGCAGGUGGGAGGCGCUAACCAAGCGAGUAGUUGAUCGGACAGCCAUUUUGGAGGAGGUGCAAGGGUUAGCUGGGGAGUUCCAGGAUGUCCUUGACCCACUGACCACAUGGCUUGAUGCUGCUAACAAAAGGUUUACAGCCCUGGAACCUCAUUCACCUGAUGCGGAGGGCAUUGAACAUCUUAUUCAAGAACUUAAAGUAAAAACUUCAAAAAGAGGUGAACGAGCAUGAGCCCGCUAUGAAACAACUGGCAACAGCUGGCAAGAAGUUGCAAGAUUAUUGCAAAGGAGAAGAUGUGAUAAUGAUCCAGUUAAAGAUAGAUGGGGUUCAGAAACAAAAUGGUGAGCUGCGUUCACACAUUGAAGACUGCCUUGAACAGAUGGAAGAAGCACUUCCUCUUGCAAAGCACUUCCAAGAAGCCCAU
This 28720-nucleotide unclassified non-coding RNA is filed under the name Pomacea canaliculata. RNAcentral's name for it is "microtubule-actin cross-linking factor 1-like, transcript variant X5". Lineage: Eukaryota; Metazoa; Mollusca; Gastropoda; Architaenioglossa; Ampullariidae. The record is from RNAcentral.